UGCUCAUCAUUCUCACGGUAGCGAUAAACUUGGCGUUCCACUGGAAGAGCACGACGAUUCCCUCGUUAGAUACUCUCAUACAGAGAUUGAAUACGAUAAGUAUUUACGAGAGAAUGGUUAGCAAAACACAGGGUUGUAUAAGUAGGUAUGUGAAAGAUUGGGAAUGCUGGACCACAAAUAUUGGAAAGGAACAGGACAGCAACGCUAACAAUGAGGAAACGGAUAGGAAUAAAUAGCUUAAAGGGCACCACUUUUGUGUGAC
This is a non-coding RNA of Pelobates cultripes (western spadefoot toad), 262 nucleotides long. The record is from the annotation of a GenBank genome assembly. Lineage: Eukaryota; Metazoa; Chordata; Amphibia; Anura; Pelobatidae.